Molecule: ribosomal RNA, 482 nt
Filed under: uncultured bacterium
Lineage: Bacteria
Description: bacterial SSU rRNA
Rfam family: Bacterial small subunit ribosomal RNA
Source: RNAcentral
AACUAACGCUGGCGGCGUGCCUAACACAUGCAAGUCGUACGAGAAAGCCGGCUUCGGCUGGUGAGUAAAGUGGCGCACGGGUGAGUAACGCGUGGAUAAUCUGCCCUUAAGUGUGGAAUAACGUACCGAAAGGUGCGCCAAUACCGCAUAAUGCCUGGCAACACAAGUUGUCCGGCCAAAGAAGGCCUCUGUUUACAAGCUUUCGCUUCAGGAUGAGUCCGCGUACCAUUAGCUUGUUGGUGGGGUAAUGGCCUACCAAGGCUGCGAUGGUUAGCUGGUCUGAGAGGAUGAUCAGCCACACUGGAACUGAGACACGGUCCAGACUCCUACGGGAGGCAGCAGUGAGGAAUAUUGCGCAAUGGGGCAACCCUGACGCAGCAACGCCGCGUGAGUGAGGAAGGUUUUCGGACUGUAAAGCUCUGUCGAGCGGGAAGAAGUGUACCAUGGCUAAUAUCCAUGAUAUUUGACGGUACCGCUAGAGG